This 254-nucleotide ribosomal RNA is filed under the name uncultured bacterium. RNAcentral's name for it is "partial 16S ribosomal RNA". It matches the Rfam family "Bacterial small subunit ribosomal RNA", at positions 524 to 776 of the family's 1533-position model. The record is from RNAcentral.
CACGUAGGGGGCAAGCGUUGUCCGGAUUCAUUGGGCGUAAAGAGCUCGUAGGCGGUUCGAUAAGUCGGGUGUGAAACCUCCAGGCUCAACCUGGAGACGCCACCCGAUACUGUCGUGACUAGAGUCCAGUAGGGGAGCGUGGAAUUCCUGGUGUAGCGGUGAAAUGCGCAGAUAUCAGGAGGAACACCCGUAGCGAAGGCGGCACUCUGGGCCGAUACUGACACUGAGGAGCGAAAGCGUGGGGAGCGAACAGG